Molecule: ribosomal RNA, 466 nt
Filed under: uncultured Treponema sp.
Lineage: Bacteria; Pseudomonadati; Spirochaetota; Spirochaetia; Treponematales; Treponemataceae
Description: bacterial SSU rRNA
Rfam family: Bacterial small subunit ribosomal RNA
Source: RNAcentral
CCUACGGGGGGCUGCAGCUAAGAAUCUUCCGCAAUGGACGAAAGUCUGACGGAGCGACGCCGUGUGAAUGAAGAAGGCCGAAAGGUUGUAAAAUUCUUUUGCAGAUGAAGAAUAAGAAGAAGAGGGAAUGCUUCUUUGAUGACGGUAGUCAUGCGAAUAAGCCCCGGCUAAUUACGUGCCAGCAGCCGCGGUAACACGUAAGGGGCGAGCGUUGUUCGGAAUUAUUGGGCGUAAAGGGUAUGUAGGCGGUUAGGUAAGCCUGGUGUGAAAUCUACGAGCUCAACUCGUAAACUGCAUUGGGUACUGCUUGACUUGAAUCACGGAGGGGAAACCGGAAUUCCAAGUGUAGGGGUGGAAUCUGUAGAUAUUUGGAAGAACACCGGUGGCGAAGGCGGGUUUCUGGCCGAUGAUUGACGCUGAUAUACGAAGGUGCGGGGAGCAAACAGGAUUAGAUACCCUGGUAGUC